ACUCCAAAAGACGUGCCGAUUGCUUAUGGUUUCAAUAAAAUUCCAAAGCGGAUGCCUGCAUCUUUGAAGCCCUUGCCGCUGAAUCAGUUCAGUGACCUUAUUAGAAGAGAGAUCGCAGUGUGUGGUUACAUGGAAGUGUUAACAUGGAUCUUAUGUUCUUACAAAGAGAAUUUCGCCAUGCUGAAGCGUAAAGAUGACAAAUCUACUGCAGUUGUCAUUGGAAACCCCGCUCCGCAGAUUUUGAGGUUGUAAGAAGCAGUCUCAUGGCUGGAAUACUGAAAACAGCCGCCCACAAUAAAGAUCAUCCGAAACCUAUCAAGAUAUUUGAAGUAGGCGAUGUAACUGUAUUUGA
Molecule: long non-coding RNA, 352 nt
Organism: Helianthus annuus (common sunflower)
Lineage: Eukaryota; Viridiplantae; Streptophyta; Magnoliopsida; Asterales; Asteraceae
Exons: 4
Source: RefSeq, a predicted model, not a curated record